RNAcentral lists this transfer RNA (73 nucleotides) under Camelus bactrianus (Bactrian camel). It matches the Rfam family "tRNA". Rfam says of the family: Transfer RNA (tRNA) molecules are approximately 80 nucleotides in length. Their secondary structure includes four short double-helical elements and three loops (D, anti-codon, and T loops). Further hydrogen bonds mediate the characteristic L-shaped molecular structure. tRNAs have two regions of fundamental functional importance: the anti-codon, which is responsible for specific mRNA codon recognition, and the 3' end, to which the tRNAs corresponding amino acid is attached (by aminoacyl-tRNA synthetases). tRNAs cope with the degeneracy of the genetic code in two manners: having more than one tRNA (with a specific anti-codon) for a particular amino acid; and 'wobble' base-pairing, i.e. permitting non-standard base-pairing at the 3rd anti-codon position. Lineage: Eukaryota; Metazoa; Chordata; Mammalia; Artiodactyla; Camelidae. The record is from Rfam by way of RNAcentral. RNAcentral also lists the same sequence under 1 other name.
GAGGGUGUAGCUCAAGUGGUAGAGCAUGUGUUUAGCAUGCAUGAGGUCCUGGGUUCAAUCCCCGGUACCUUCA